UCCCUGGAGGUCUAGAGGUUAGGACUCUGUGCUUUCACCACUGCAGCCCAGGUUCAAUCCCUGGUCUGAGAA
Molecule: transfer RNA, 72 nt
Filed under: Sus scrofa (pig)
Lineage: Eukaryota; Metazoa; Chordata; Mammalia; Artiodactyla; Suidae
Rfam family: tRNA
About the family: Transfer RNA (tRNA) molecules are approximately 80 nucleotides in length.
Source: Rfam by way of RNAcentral